AUGGCGGCGGCCGCCUCCACUUCCUCCGCCGCCGCGCCCGCCUCGCCCUCCGGCGGUGGCCGCAGAGGCCCGGCGGCGGCGUUCGCGUGCGCCUGCCCCAUCUGCCUCGAGGGAUUCGAGGACGAGGCCUACCUCGACACCUGCCUGCAUUCAUUCUGUUACGAGUGCAUAACCCAGUGGGUGAGCAUUGUGGCGAGCAAGCAUGAAGACCCUUUGUCCUCUGUGAAAUGCCCCCUUUGCAAGACAAAGAGUGCAUCGGUCCUUCAUGCUUUCGAUGGCAAAUCAUUUACGCGGCAUUACAUAGAGCAGGACCAGGGGAAGAGAUAUCUUGCAGAUGCACACGAGUUGAUAUCACAAUUCUAUAACACAAGAGAGAUUUCAGAGGAUACAGCCAGUGUGCUUCAGUACUGGAAGCAGCGAAAGUAUCUCCGGAAGAACGUAUGGCUUGAAACUUGGUUGAGAUGGGAAAUUCAGGCCCUUACGCAGGACGAAAACGUCGAGGCCAUAGUCUACCACAUCCACGGCCUGAUCGAGUCCUUCAUGAAAACGCAAGAAAAACUGCACGCCUCAAAGCAGGCUUCCCCGGAACAUACAAGGGAAGAGUUCAGGAGUUUACUGUCGGACGCUGCUAGGCCGUUCCUCCUCGGGCGGACAGCGCGAUUCGUCACGGAGGUGGAGCUCUUCCUGAUCUCGCAACGGAACAUCGACGCGUACAGCAGGGUGCGCCUGCAGAGGUUCAAGGAGUCCGCCUCGCACGUAGCAAGAGAGCAGGACGCGCUGCCACAGGACCGCCCCCUCGAGGACCACUACUUGUACCUUUUGCGUGAAGAAACAGAUUUUGUUGGCGGUGUGAUAUAG
Molecule: ribosomal RNA, 858 nt
Filed under: Triticum aestivum (bread wheat)
Lineage: Eukaryota; Viridiplantae; Streptophyta; Magnoliopsida; Poales; Poaceae
Description: partial small subunit ribosomal RNA
Source: RNAcentral